ACCCAUCAGAGGGGGAUAACACUUGGAAACAGGUGCUAAUACCGCAUAACAGUUUAUGCCGCAUGGCAUAAGAGUGAAAGGCGCUUUCGGGUGUCGCUGAUGGAUGGACCCGCGGUGCAUUAGCUAGUUGGUGAGGUAACGGCUCACCAAGGCCNCGAUGCAUAGCCGACCUGAGAGGGUGAUCGGCCACACUGGGACUGAGACACGGCCCAGACUCCUACGGGAGGCAGCAGUAGGGAAUCUUCGGCAAUGGACGAAAGUCUGACCGAGCANCGCCGCGU
Molecule: ribosomal RNA, 281 nt
Filed under: Enterococcus faecalis
Lineage: Bacteria; Bacillati; Bacillota; Bacilli; Lactobacillales; Enterococcaceae
Description: partial 16S ribosomal RNA
Rfam family: Bacterial small subunit ribosomal RNA
Source: RNAcentral